RNAcentral lists this ribosomal RNA (392 nucleotides) under uncultured bacterium. Its description in RNAcentral is "bacterial SSU rRNA". It matches the Rfam family "Bacterial small subunit ribosomal RNA", at positions 28 to 423 of the family's 1533-position model. The record is from RNAcentral.
GACGAACGCUGGCGGCGUGCUUAACACAUGCAAGUCGAGCGGUAAGGCCCUUUCGGGGGUACACGAGCGGCGAACGGGUGAGUAACACGUGGGUGACCUGCCCUUAGCUCUGGGAUAAGCCUGGGAAACUGGGUCUAAUACCGGAUAUGACUCCAUGACGCAUGUUGUGGGGUGGAAAGCCUUGUGCGGCUAGGGAUGGGCCCGCGGCCUAUCAGCUUGUUGGUGGGGUGAUGGCCACCAAGGCGACGACGGGUAGCCGGCCUGAGAGGGCGACCGGCCACACUGGGACUGAGACACGGCCCAGACUCCUACGGGAGGCAGCAGUGGGGAAUCUUGCGCAAUGGGCGAAAGCCUGACGCAGCGACGCCGCGUGGGGAUGACGGCCUCGGUGU